This 484-nucleotide ribosomal RNA is filed under the name uncultured bacterium. RNAcentral describes it as "partial 16S ribosomal RNA". It matches the Rfam family "Bacterial small subunit ribosomal RNA", at positions 28 to 507 of the family's 1533-position model. The record is from RNAcentral.
AUUGAACGCUGGCGGCAUGCUUUACACAUGCAAGUCGAACGGCAGCGCGGGCUUCGGCCUGGCGGCGAGUGGCGAACGGGUGAGUAAUGCAUCGGAACCUGCCCAGUAGUGGGGGAUAGCCCGGCGAAAGCCGGAUUAAUACCGCAUACGACCUGAGGGUGAAAGCGGGGGACCGAAAGGCCUCGCGCUAUUGGAGCGGCCGAUGUCGGAUUAGCUAGUUGGUGGGGUAAAGGCUUACCAAGGCGACGAUCCGUAGCUGGUCUGAGAGGACGACCAGCCACACUGGGACUGAGACACGGCCCAGACUCCUACGGGAGGCAGCAGUGGGGAAUUUUGGACAAUGGGGGCAACCCUGAUCCAGCCAUGCCGCGUGCGGGAAGAAGGCCUUCGGGUUGUAAACCGCUUUUGUUCGGGAAGAAAUCCUCUGGGCUAAUACCCCGGGGGGAUGACGGUACCGGAAGAAUAAGCACCGGCUAACUACGUG